RNAcentral lists this long non-coding RNA (503 nucleotides) under Homo sapiens (human). RNAcentral's name for it is "HSALNT0348621". The record is from RNAcentral. Lineage: Eukaryota; Metazoa; Chordata; Mammalia; Primates; Hominidae.
GGCAUGAGCCACCCACCUGAGCAACUGUGUUUAGUUCUUAAUCCCUCAGCUGAAGAAAUGAGAAGAUCUUGGAGACUCUCCAAGGCAGGGUUUGCCUUGUCGCAGAUGCACCUUUGGGCACAGGCCAGGGAAGUAUAGAGCAGUGCUAGCCUUAGGAAGAGAGGAUAUGGCAAGACCCAUGUUUUGAGAGGAAAACACUGUCUUUCUCUUUCUCCCCAUUAGGCCAAAUGCCUGGGACUUGCUGGCCUGAGAAUGAAAAGGGAAGUUUUCCUGCACAAACUCUUCUCUUGACUGCCACCACGUGAGACAUCCUUUCACCUUCUGCCAUGAUUGUGAGACCUCUCAAGCCACAUGGAACUUUACAGGUUUGUGUGAGGCCCAACUUUCUUCAUCUACUUCAACCAAAACAAUGUAUCAUCUCAGACUGGGUGCAGAAGCAGCUAUGGAACCACAGCUGUUUUCUAUUAAGCCAGACAUUAAAGCAACUUAUAAAAAUGUGAAAC